AAUUACACUGACUUUACGUUUUAUUGCAAAUUACUCAAUUCUUUUGUGCAAAACAAAUAGAUUUAUAUUUUCUAUUUAAUUAAAUUUUCGUAGGACUUCUCGAAGUUCCUGAAUAUUACUCCGUGAGAUUGUCCAGCAUGUCGGUCUAUCCAGAAGAGACCACGAAAUCAGAUAUUUUCGUAUGGCAAAAACAUGGCGACUGGUAGCACAUAGCACUUGCCAGAGUUGAAUCUAAAGUAUUACCCUCUGAAAAGUCUAUACAACAACAACGAAAAUGGAAAUAUUGUUCGAAAAGCAAUUCGUAUUUGCAUUAGUCGCAGUGUUUUUAAUCUUUGUUUACCUCUCGGUUAAGAGCUGGAAAUGCCAGACGAAAGCGAAUGAAGGAAGACAAACACAUUUCAGAUUCCUCACGUAUCAAUUAUUAUGGAAUUUAAUCUUUUGUCCUAGUAAAGCACUAAACUAUAAAAAGUUUAUUGACGUGUAUCUUCUUCAAAUGUUAGAAGGAUUUUGCUUGAUAAAUCCAAAGGAAAAAGCGAUAAAAAUUUCUGUCAACGGAAGUAAUUAUUUUCUGUUUUCUCAUCCCGAAACAAUUGAAAAAGUAUUGAAAAGUUAUAACACGAUUAACAAAGAUACCUUUUAUAAUAAGUUCCGUUUUUUAAUCGGAACAGGACUCAUUACUAGCUCUUACAACAAAUGGAAGACACGAAGAAAGAUGUUAAAUCCUGCAUUUCACUUUCGAAUUCUCGAAGAUUUCCAAGAAAUCUUUUAUAGAAAGUCGGAAACNUUA
This is a long non-coding RNA of Centruroides sculpturatus (bark scorpion), 787 nucleotides long. RefSeq lists it as uncharacterized. The record is from RefSeq and is a predicted model, not a curated record. NCBI's taxonomy places the organism in Eukaryota, Metazoa, Arthropoda, Arachnida, Scorpiones, Buthidae. The transcript has 6 exons.